Molecule: transfer RNA, 94 nt
Filed under: Methylobacterium crusticola
Lineage: Bacteria; Pseudomonadati; Pseudomonadota; Alphaproteobacteria; Hyphomicrobiales; Methylobacteriaceae
Description: tRNA-Thr
Source: RNAcentral
CCGCGGGCGGCGGGGACCAUCGCCGCGAUGGUGCGUGACCAUCGCCGCGAUGGUGCUGACCAUCGCCGCGAUGGUGCGUGACCAUCGCCGCGAU